GAUAAAAUCAGAAGUUUAAGGGGUACUUUUAAAUUACAAAAUAUGAUCUGGUUGCCCUAAAUUCCCUCUAUAAAAGAUCAUUUUGCCAAUGAUUAUGGCACAGAAAAAAGAGUAAAAAAAGGUAAACGGCUGAAAACAAACUUUCCUAAAAGGUUCUUAAGAAAUUUUGAGCUUUCUUUUGUUAUGGGGUUCUUCUUGGCUGGAUUCCAAAAGCUGGAACAGAAUAUUGGGUUUCUUCAUUGCUGAUUUUUGCUGAGUUGAGCUAGGAACUGUAAGUUGCUUUGUUUCUUUAAGUUGUUUUUCAUUUUGCUAGGUAUAUUUCUGAAUUUUGUAUGCUUUGUUGAGUUAUCUUGAAUGAGAUAUUAUUUUCCUUAAAACUCUGAGCAUAAAUAAAGUUGGAUUGUUUAUUCUCGCAACGUUCUUGAAAUUUCCAGCCUAUUAAAGCUUUAAAUCUAUGUUAGCUAUUCAUUUGCUUUAUUAAUUUGUGUAAUGGUUGGAGUAUGAGGACAAUGGAAAUGUUCCAUUGAUAUCCAAUAGUUGAUGAUACAUGCAUUUUGAAUAUCAUGAUGUUUUCUUCUUUUCUUUCUUUCAGAAACAUUACUAUGCUUAUUGUGAGUAGCAUGAGGCAUUCGUUGUUAAAUGUUCUUUGGUUUUAAAGUUGUAGUAACAAGAGCUUUACUAUAAGUGGUCUGUAUAUGAAAUAUGUAGAUUUGUUUUUAAUUUGAAGAGUGGAAAGUUAUUUACUAUUGAUUACUUAGCUGUAGUUUGCAGAUAUGACCACUAACCGGUUAGAUUGGUAAGCUUUAAAGCUAAGGAAGGUAUUUAAAGUCGCUGAGAAAGGGGUUUGGAGCCGAAGAUUUAAUUAGAUCAUGUAUUAGUUUAGUUUGUUUUUGUAAAUUAUUUUGUAUACAUUAGAAUGCAUUAAUUAUCAAGAGUUGUGAUUGAAAUGGCCAAAACUGUAAAUUUCAGAUUCUAGGUAGUCUUCUUUUGAAGUUCUGAAGGCCAAUAAUUUACGUUUUCUGCGUAUUUGCUGUGUUGGACAAUUACCACAAACUUAAAUAUUUGUAUAAGGAAUUUGGAGUCAACUUAUUGUAUUGGGCUUGGUCGAGUUUAGUUAUUAGUUCAGAAAAGAAUCCUAGUGAAUUAUAAUAAAAAUUAUACGGGGCACUCUAUUUGGUCGCCCUCAUUUAACAUA
This 1195-nucleotide long non-coding RNA is filed under the name Nicotiana benthamiana. RNAcentral's name for it is "long non-coding RNA (NBEN_LNC012588)". Lineage: Eukaryota; Viridiplantae; Streptophyta; Magnoliopsida; Solanales; Solanaceae. The record is from RNAcentral.